Molecule: long non-coding RNA, 1194 nt
Organism: Oncorhynchus tshawytscha (Chinook salmon)
Lineage: Eukaryota; Metazoa; Chordata; Actinopteri; Salmoniformes; Salmonidae
Source: Ensembl
GUAAUGUGAUGUGGUGUAGUGGGGUGUGGUGUAAUGUGGUGUGGUGUGGUGUAGUGUAAUGUGGUGUGGUGUGUAGUGGUGUGGUGUGGAGUUGUGUGGUGUGGUGUGGUGGGGUGUAGUGUGGUGUGGUGUGGUGUAGUGUGGUGUAGUGUGGUGUGGUGUAAUAUGAUGUGGUGUGGUGUAGUGUGGUGUAGUGUGGUGUGGUGUAAUGUGGUGUAAUGUGGUGUGGUGUGGUGUAGUGUGGUGUAGUGUGGUGUGGUGUGGUGUGGUGUGAUGUGGUGUAGUGUGGUGUGGUGUGGUGUAGUGUGGUGUGGUGUAGUGUGGUGUGGUGUGGUGUAGUGUAGUGUGGUGUAGUGUGGUGUGGAGUGGUGUAUUGGGGUGUGGUGUGGUGUAAUGUGAUGUGGAGUGGUGUGGUGUGGUGUGGUGUGGUGUAGUGUGGUGUAGUGUGGUGUGGUGUAGUGUAGUGUGGUGUGGUUUGGUGUAGUGUAGUGUGGUGUGGUGUAGUGGGGUGUGGUGUGGUGUAGUGUGGUGUGGUGUGGUGUGGUGUAGUGGGGUGUAAUGUGGUGUAGUGUGGUGUGGUGUAGUGUAGUGUGGUGUGGUGUAAUGUGGUGUAAUGCAGUGUGGUGUGGUGUAGUGUGGUGCAAUGUGGUGUGGUGUGGUGUAGUGUGGUGUGGUGUAGUGUAGUGUGGUGUGGUGUAAUGUGGUGUAAUGUGAUGUGGUGUAGUGUAGUGUGGUGUGGUGUAAUGUGGUGUAAUGUGGUGUAGUGUAGUGUGGUGUAAUGUGGUGUAGUGUGGUGUGGUGUAGUGCGGUGUGGUGUAGUGUAGUGUGGUGUAGUGUAGUGUGGUGUGGUGUAGUGGGGUGUGGUGUGGUGUAGUGUGGUGUGGUGUGGUGUGGUGUAGUGGGGUGUGGUGUGGUGUGGUGUAGUGGGGUUUGGUGUAGUGUAGUGUGGUGUGGUGUGGUGUGGUGUAGUGGGGUGUAGUGUAGUGUGGUGUGGUGUGGUGUAGUGGGGUGUGGUGUAGUGUAGUGUGGUGUAGUGUGGUGUAGUGUGGUGUGGUGUAGUGGGGUGUGGUGUGGUGUAGUGUGGUGUGGUGUGGUGUGGUGUAGUGGGGUGUAGUGUAGUGUAGUGUAGUGUGGUGUGGUGUGGUGUAGUGUGGUGUAGUGUGGUGUAGUGCAGUGUGGUGUAGUGUGGUGUAG